CAGCGCCGCGGUAAUACGUAGGUGGCAAGCGUUGUCCGGAAUUAUUGGGCGUAAAGGGCUCGCAGGCGGUUUCUUAAGUCUGAUGUGAAAGCCCCCGGCUCAACCGGGGAGGGUCAUUGGAAACUGGGAAACUUGAGUGCAGAAGAGGAGAGUGGAAUUCCACGUGUAGCGGUGAAAUGCGUAGAGAUGUGGAGGAACACCAGUGGCGAAGGCGACUCUCUGGUCUGUAACUGACGCUGAGGAGCGUAAGCGUGGGGAGCGAGCAGGAUUAGAUACCCCGGUAGUCCCUGUCUCUUAUACC
This 301-nucleotide ribosomal RNA is filed under the name uncultured bacterium. RNAcentral describes it as "partial 16S ribosomal RNA". It matches the Rfam family "Bacterial small subunit ribosomal RNA", at positions 509 to 808 of the family's 1533-position model. The record is from RNAcentral.